This 429-nucleotide ribosomal RNA is filed under the name Bacillota bacterium. RNAcentral's name for it is "Firmicutes bacterium partial 16S ribosomal RNA". It matches the Rfam family "Bacterial small subunit ribosomal RNA", at positions 355 to 776 of the family's 1533-position model. The record is from RNAcentral. Lineage: Bacteria; Bacillati; Bacillota.
UAGGGAAUCUUCGGCAAUGGACGGAAGUCUGACCGAGCAACGCCGCGUGAGUGAAGAAGGUUUUCGGAUCGUAAAGCUCUGUUGUUAGAGAAGAACGUUGGUAGGAGUGGAAAAUCUACCAAGUGACGGUAACUAACCAGAAAGGGACGGCUAACUACGUGCCAGCAGCCGCGGUAAUACGUAGGUCCCGAGCGUUGUCCGGAUUUAUUGGGCGUAAAGCGAGCGCAGGCGGUUCUUUAAGUCUGAAGUUAAAGGCAGUGGCUUAACCAGUGUACGCUUUGGAAACUGGAGGGCUUGAGUGCAGAAGGGGAGAGUGGAAUUCCAUGUGUAGCGGUGAAAUGCGUAGAUAUAUGGAGGAACACCGGUGGCGAAAGCGGCUCUCUGGUCUGUAACUGACGCUGAGGCUCGAAAGCGUGGGGAGCAAACAGG